This 514-nucleotide ribosomal RNA is filed under the name uncultured bacterium. RNAcentral's name for it is "bacterial SSU rRNA". It matches the Rfam family "Bacterial small subunit ribosomal RNA", at positions 28 to 555 of the family's 1533-position model. The record is from RNAcentral.
AAUCAACGCUGGCGGCGUGCCUCAGACAUGCAAGUCGAACGAUUAAGACUCCCUUCGGGGAGUGCAUAAAGUGGCGCACGGGUGAGUAACACGUAAGUAAUCUGCCCUCGAGUGGGGAAUAACACCGGGAAACCGGUGCUAAUACCGCAUAAUGCAGCGGCACCGCAAGGUGACAGUUGUUAAAGGAGCAAUCCGCUUGAGGAGGAGCUUGCGGCAGAUUAGCUAGUUGGUAAGGUAAUGGCUUACCAAGGCUACGAUCUGUAACCGGUCUAAGAGGACGGUCGGUCACACUGACACUGAAUAACGGGUCAGACUCCUACGGGAGGCAGCAGUCGGGAAUUUGGGCAAUGGGCGAAAGCCUGACCCAGCAACGCCGCGUGAAGGAUGAAGUAUUUCGGUAUGUAAACUUCGAAAGAAUGGGAAGAAUAAAUGACGGUACCAUUUAUAAGGUCCGGCUAACUACGUGCCAGCAGCCGCGGUAAUACGUAGGGACCAUGCGUUGUUCGGAUCUACG